Molecule: ribosomal RNA, 459 nt
Filed under: uncultured bacterium
Lineage: Bacteria
Description: partial 16S ribosomal RNA
Rfam family: Bacterial small subunit ribosomal RNA
Source: RNAcentral
CCUACGGGUGGCAGCAGUGAGGAAUAUUGGUCAAUGGGCGGGAGCCUGAACCAGCCAAGUCGCGUGAGGGAUGACGGCCCUAUGGGUUGUAAACCUCUUUUGCCGGGGAGCAAAGUGCCGCACGUGUGCGGUUUGGAGUGUACCCGGGGAAAAAGCAUCGGACAACCCCGUGCCAGCAGCCGCGGUAAUACGGAGGAUGCGAGCGUUAUCCGGAUUUAUUGGGUUUAAAGGGUGCGUAGGCGGACGUUUAAGUCAGCGGUAAAAUUGCGGGGGUCAACCUAGUCGGGCAGUUGAAACUGGGUGCCUUGAGUGGGCGAGAAGUACGCGGAAUGCGUGGUGUAGCGGUGAAAUGCAUAGAUAUAACGCAGAACUCCGAUUGCGAAGGCAGCGUACCGGCGCCCAACUGACGCUGAAGCACGAAGGCGUGGGUAUCGAACAGGAUUAGAUACCCUUGUAGUC